RNAcentral lists this transfer RNA (71 nucleotides) under Tetradesmus obliquus. RNAcentral describes it as "Scenedesmus obliquus tRNA". It matches the Rfam family "tRNA". Rfam says of the family: Transfer RNA (tRNA) molecules are approximately 80 nucleotides in length. Their secondary structure includes four short double-helical elements and three loops (D, anti-codon, and T loops). The record is from Rfam by way of RNAcentral. Lineage: Eukaryota; Viridiplantae; Chlorophyta; Chlorophyceae; Sphaeropleales; Scenedesmaceae.
GUGCAUAUAGCUCAAUGGCAGAGCAAUAGUUUCCUAAACUAGAGAUGAAAGUUCGAUUCUUUCUUUGUACA